CCCUCUGGAAUUCCCUGACCUAGCACUAGAUAGGCUUUUUUGCCCAGGGAAGUGAAGUAAUUUGUCAUUAAUACGGCGUGUUCCACCUCCGAGCCGACCAUCAUUUUGAUAAAUUGCUCGCAAGUUGGCCAGAUCGCCUGAAAGAUGGAUCGUAAAUUUGAGCACUUGUACUCUCUUAAUACUAAUGCAAAAUGCCACCUGAAUUCCAGGGAACAGAGCAUUCCUGGGCAAGUAUGGAAUGAGUGCCACAAACCAGGCCACCUUUUCGGGAUUUUGGUCAUUGUUCUCGAGAACGUCGUGAGGAGGUCGGAUGGCGCGAAAAUAUCUCGUUACCAAAACGGAUUUGCCAGUCAGAUCGGCGACCAUGGGGCUGAACUGAAGGCAGUAAUUAACGUCAAUGAGGCGAAGGAUUGGAACUUUUUCAGUUUCGUUCAACAAAAUGAGUCAUACUAAAUCUUAACACUUACAACUCUGUUUGGGAACUUGCUCAUGAGGUCGCGAUGCCAUUUUUCGCAAUGCCUAACCAGAUUAUCGUCUUCCUCGCAUUCAAGCUUCUCUUUGAUUGGUUCUGGAUUGCUGAGCGGAGGAUUGAUGGUCAAAUAGAUGCUCAAAUAUGUGGCUUCUUUUGGAGGUUGGUCCAUAUCGGUAUUCUCCCGCCAAAAGCCAGAGGCCAUUGAUGUCUGACCAGUUCUUUCAUAUCCAAGAAGUACCGGAGGAGAAUGAAGCUUAAAUGUUCCCUCAAUCCUUGUGUUUCUGUACAUGGUAACAAAAGGAAUGGCCAAAGAUCCCAACCAUUUCCGUUCGAAUCUUUGAUGCACUUCACGAGGCCUUUCCUCUUCAUCUUCUAGCAUAUCUACCGCUACCUCAUCAAACAGAUGCAAAUGCAAGUUGUCCUUGAUUCGAUUUAAGGUAUCAGAAGAGAAAUCGUUGUUUGGAGACUUGAAUGUGAAUUCAAUUUCCUCAUUCCAAGCAGGAUUGGGCCCCGGAGCAACUGGAGUUUUCUGACACUGACCUUGAAAACGAACUUCGACAAAGCUUCGUACUAAAUUUUCUUUCAUGCCGUGGAUGCUCUCUUCUCUGUGAUUUUUCCCUUGUAGACUUGGGUUGCUUUGUAAAGGGUCCAUGUCAUUUCUCACCGGAACAUCGAAGGCACGAACCACGGAAAUCAAUAUCUUCAAGUCCUGGCCGUCAAGGAGGAUUAUCUUGGGCCUUGGGAAUCGAUAGGGCUUCAAGGGUCUUUGAGCUGGAACCAUUUCUCCGAAGAGCAUGGCCAUUGUUCCCGAUGUGGGUAGUGGAACCUCGUUGAUGACGUCGCAAUGUCGCUUUUUAUGUCUGGCAAUGGCAAAGUUGUGAUUAACCUCUUCCCGUAGCUGCUCUAAAGGGCCUGUAAAGACUUCAAAAGUUAGACGUCUAGCCAAGCCAAGUCAUCGUUGUCCCCAAAACAAUAUCUACUUUUUUAAGGACUCGAAUAUCCCGCGGGGAAUCUCCUUGUCAUUGAUUGGAAUCAUUCGGUAAUUCUUGAAUUCCGCCACUUGGGAGCUUCUCAAUUUAAGCAUUUGAAAUCGUGGAUUGUUUUCAAUCGCAGAGCUAGUCCCUAAAAGGAAUUGAUCGUGAUAAUCGUCCAAUCGGAAAUGCCCUCCACCUUGCAAUGUCGGAGCAUAGCCUGAGCCAGAAUUUGAGGAUUCAUUUCUGUCAUUCGAGUCCGGCCGAUCUACGUUGGAUUUGCCUGCUUCGAGCACCCUAUCCAUGAGGUCUUGGUUUUUUGGAUCCAUGGGAUCAAUCUCGUUCUUUGUCAUCCAAACAUCCAGUUUGGCCGAUUCGAUCCUGCCAUUGACAUCCGUGAUAUCUUCCAAAGGAUCUUGGCUAAAAUCAAAGAUCAUCUCGUUUCUUAUCACUUCAGUAUGAUAUUAAUAUAUAGGAAUACAGUAGUGUAUUGCUUUCAGGCGUACAUUCGUGAUUUUGGUGGCGACCACUUCUCUGCUGGCGGAGAUAGUAUCGUUCCAUCUGAUGUUCGUCCCCAACCAACUCUGACAAAGACUUUUCCGUGGGUGGGUUGGCUAGUGAUGGAACUUCCAUCUCCAUUGGCUGAGAAGUCUACACAUGAUCCUACACCUAAACAGAUGGAGGUUAUUAAUGCAAUUAUCUAGAUCCCGAGAGAAGUUUCCCCGUCUGUUACCGCUGUUGUCGUGCUUGACUCUGGAUGUGCUUUGAAACGGGAUGAUAUUUACGUCAGCUUUGUCAAGGACGGUAUCUGACUCACAGAUUGGCAAUGAUAUUUCGGAUAAAAACGACGUUUUCAGUUUGGUUCCUUCAAAGAUCUAAGGAUUGCAUUUGCUGAUUUGUGAUGUAUCAAUUACAGACUAAUUAAUCUGCCGCUUGAUAGAUACCUGAACUUUCAGAGUUUCUGGCCAUUGCGUGAUCUGCAGUGGGAAAAUUUGGGCAAUAGGUACGGUAAAAUCCUCGCCAAUAUGUUUGGUUGAUGACUGACACACCUCUUUCCCAUUGAAAAAGAGCUUCACGAAUAUUUUCAUCUUGCUCAAGGAGUGUCUUCGACUCGUUUCUCGAUUGUCUUGAACAUCUUUAUCGAUGUUGGAAGAUUGUGACAGUUCCAAAGUCAAAAUGGUCUCGCCUGGGGGUCGACGUGUUUGGCGGGCUUUUUCUUCAAGCUAAGGGACAAGUCUGAUAUACACACAAUAUAUUGUUCCGGCCUGAGUGUCUCCUUGAGCUUACCAUCUUGCGGACAUGUUCUUCAUCAAAUCGACCUGGUGGUUGAGGUUUUUCAGGCUCGGGAGAGGCCAAAAGCUCUUCAUCUUUUGCAAUUUCAUCCACUUCGGCACUGCCAAUACCUUUUUCGCUAUCCUUUUUCAUCUUUUUAUGCCGUUUAUAUGCUGCCUUUCUCAUAUCUGUGGAAAACACAAAUAUUUUAACAACUGUCUGUCUUUGUAACGCUAGAUGGCGCUAUUGUUUGCGGACAAAGUUUGAUGCUAUUUUUUGAAAUUCCCUUGUAAGGCACUCGCUUAAUCUUCCAUAGCCAUAAAACAUUAAUUGUUGGAUAAACUUUUGCAUUAGUCCAUUUCCUCAUGUGUAGUGGAAGUGUUUUCAAGACUAUUAUUGUAUACAAUGAUCAACAGCUUUUAUCAAGCGUGAAUGUUUUUAUACAUACACGGAGUGAUAAGUGGCACGAUCCUUCUGAACACAGUUCAAACAGGAAUUGAUGAAUUGGGUUGCAUCUUCAUAGAUGAGGCUUGAGCCAAUACUUGUUACGCUCAUCAAGCUAUACCUAUCUGAUCCUGGGGAAUCGUCCCUCUUAAUUAAACUCUCAAAAUCAUAGUGCACUAAUCAUCCCUUGAGGAACUAACCGUGGAUCUGUUUCCAGUGUCUCAAUUCCUCCUCAUACUCCUUGGUCAAGAACUCUAGAUUGUCGUGGUAGUCGUCCCGAGCCUCGUCAACUUCCCGGGUCAGUUCCUGCUCCCAUUGGGUUUGGUCAUCAAUUAGACUUGCAUUUUCCUGCAAUGUCGAUAAGCGUGGUAAAGUUAAUUCGUUGAAACGGUAAAACACCUACAAGUAGGGAAUUUAAAUCAAGUUUCUCUGAGCAUGAAGGCGUUCAGUCUGCAUCCAAUCAUUUCUUCGUUUUACCUUAUGAAUCGUGAGCUUCAAGUUGGUGCUCUGGUAACCCUGUCGACGACGGA
This is a long non-coding RNA of Tigriopus californicus, 3689 nucleotides long. RefSeq lists it as uncharacterized. Lineage: Eukaryota; Metazoa; Arthropoda; Copepoda; Harpacticoida; Harpacticidae. The transcript has 2 exons. The record is from RefSeq and is a predicted model, not a curated record.